This 505-nucleotide ribosomal RNA is filed under the name uncultured bacterium. Its description in RNAcentral is "partial 16S ribosomal RNA". It matches the Rfam family "Bacterial small subunit ribosomal RNA", at positions 28 to 507 of the family's 1533-position model. The record is from RNAcentral.
GACGAACGCUGGCGGCGUGCCUAAUACAUGCAAGUCGAACGCACAGUUUAUACCGUAGCUUGCUCCACCAUAGACUGUGAGUUGCGAACGGGUGAGUAACGCGUAGGUAACCUGCCUGGUAGCGGGGGAUAACUAUUGGAAACGAUAGCUAAUACCGCAUAAUAUUGAUUAUUGCAUGAUAAUUGAUUGAAAGAUGCUAUUGCAUCACUACCAGAUGGACCUGCGUUGUAUUAGCUAGUAGGUGAGGUAACGGCUCACCUAGGCGACGAUACAUGGCCGACCUGAGAGGGUGAUCGGCCACACUGGGACUGAGACACGGCCCAGACUCCUACGGGAGGCAGCAGUAGGGAAUCUUCGGCAAUGGACGAAAGUCUGACCGAGCAACGCCGCGUGAGUGAAGAAGGGUUUCGGAUCGUAAAGCUCUGUUGUAAGAGAAGAACGGGUGUGAGAGUGGAAAGUUCACACUGUGACGGUAUCUUACCAGAAAGGGACGGCUAACUACGUG